CAGUCCCCUGGGCUGAAUUUUACCUUUUAUCUUCUUAAAAUGUUAACGUACUAUACAGGCUCCAAUCUCCUCAUUCCUUUCUGGGAAUCUCCCUGCUUCUCUAUCUCUCCCCGGGGGGGGGGGGCAUUUAAAUCUUGCUUUCACCAUUAGCAACAUUUGGAGCUGAACAACUUUAAGUAACCUCUGAAGUGGUUGGAGCUGACAUUGUUUUUUUGUUUCAAGAUUUCAUGCUUAUUUUUUUCCCAGUUAGGACCCUGAUCCAAACCCUACAUUUCAGAUUGCACAUCUGAGCUUUGGUCCCAGGCCAGUGAGCUCAUACACAGUGUUUGUCUUGGCUCCACUGCCUGACCCAGCCAGGAACACAGGCUGGCAGAUCAGAGGGGAAGCAAAGCCCAGUUUUGACUCUUGCCAAAGAUGUGGUCAGCCAGCCUAGGGCUCCGGCAGCUCCCUUGGGGACAUCCAGCCAUGCUUGCGGGUCCUAGUUAGCAUCUGUAGGUCUUUGCUGCUGGCUUCUGUUCUGUUUAAACCCAACAGCAGUGAUGGCUGGGUAGAGAUGAUCUGAGCAACGAGAGACAGACCGAAAAGGCAACAAACCUCCAAUACUCUCCCUGGGCAGAUGUCUGGCCCAGGCCAUUCCUAUUGCAGCACUGAAACGAGCCCAUCCCAUUUGUGGGAUCUGCCUUCCUAGGCUGCAUGCACUUAAUGUCCACAUGUGACCGAUACUCCUCUCUGCUACGGGAACCUAGGCCCUGCAAGCUCAGGCUACAGAGCCUAGCCUAAAAGCACACAGUUCCAGAGACUGUAGGAUGCAGGUGUUUGGGGGUGCUGAGAAGCUUUCAAUUCUGCAGACAACUGUAGACACUGAACUUGGGCUGGGUUGUACAGCAUUCAUGCUGCAUUUAAGGAUGUUUGUUUGUUUGUUUGUUUAUGAGAUAGGGUCUCUGUACGUUCUGGAACUCACUUAUGUAGAUCAGGCUGGCCUAGAACUUAUCAGUCUGUCCCUCGGAGUUCUACAUGAGCCACCAUGCCUGGCUUGUCCAGUUCCGGUCUGAAUCUUGGGAGCGUGUGCAGAGUCCAGCUGCCACUAGUGGCACUCUUCUAUGAGGAUAUAUCCUGUGGUUUGCUCACCCAGGGACUCGUAUGGGGGCCCAGGGAGGCAGUGGCAGGGCCUUUCAGGGUGGGCACUGGGGUAGAGGAAUUCACUGCUGAGCACUCUCUGUGAGUGUGUAAGGAAGGGACUGUGGGGCUUCGGGGAUGAGCCUGGGCACUCGUCUAGACAUGAAGACCAUCCGGAUGAGAGGACAUGAGUCCAUUGGAAGUCUCCUGAAUCCGCGCUCGACAGGCCCCAGCAGUCUUCGCUGUGCUCUGAAGCAUGCUUCUGCCAAGGCCUUCCCUACAGCGUGGGGAUUGAUGGAGAGGCCUUGAAUUUGAGGGUGGAGUUCUGGCUUUGGCUCUUUUGGGGGCCGUGUUACUGUACUUGACACAGCUGCUCUUGGGAGAAUUGCCAUUCUCCCUUGACCUGAAGAAGAAACCCUCUCAUCCUCAUUAGAGCUCCCAUCAGCUUUCAUUGACAAGGUUUACACUUGGAAGGAACUAUUCCUCAGACGUGGACAGACCAGCGCUUGCCUAGCUCAUGGACCUGAGGAUAAGCACCAUGCUUUCAGAGAUAGCCAGCCUAACACUUGGCUCAUAAAUGUCUCUACCAUGAAGCCUUUGAAGAAUGUUGAUAGCUGCAGGAAGACCCGGCUGUGGGACCACCUCGUAGAAGGAUCCUCUGGUGGGAACAAAGUGUAUUUUGUUUAGGAUUUUGCUCCAUGGAGAUCCAAGAUCUGGAGACAGACCCAGGAGGAAGCUCCCAGCAGACUCCUGACAUUUGCUGAGGACCUGCUGCGGGGUGGCUGCUUUGCUGGCGGGAUUCACACUAGAGUGGACAGCAAAUAUCACGAGGUGACAGUGUCUGUGGUGGGCUUGUGACCAGCGCUGGUGCACUGAGACUGCACAGGAAGAUAGCUCUCAGAGGCGCUCGCAGCAGGUAGUAACGCGUGCAUUUGCAUGGCGAAUCUGUGUGGAAGCCUUUCUCCUGUCACUUCGCGGGAACUUCAGAGCAACCUUGGAAUGGGUCAGCUGACACUGGUUCCUGGCCUAAAAUGAGUCUCCAAGACAUUGGUCCUAGAUGGUCCUCAAAGGGUCAGGCUGACUGCGCAGGCUUCCUGUUUGACAUCCUCCACUGGUCAAUAACAUCCCAACUCCUCAGCAGAGUUCAGAGGCCCUGGCUGGUUCUUCCAUACCUGACCUCACUGGAUCCCACACAGGGGCUUCGGCACAUUCUGCACACACAAACUGUCAGGGUCUCAGAAGGUGGUGACUCCAUCCGGGUCUGCCAAGAGGUGAUUAGGCUAGAAGGGCGCUGUUAGCACGUCUGGCCCAAUGAUCAGGGCGCAAACUCACAUAGAGACCCCCUAUGCGGCUAGGAAAGACAGCAUCGGCAAGCCUGGAAGAGGGGCCUCGGGAGGUGCCAGGCAGAUGACUGUUCUCUCUCACACUUCAGCCUCCACAGCAUGAGGCAUAAACCUCAUCUGAGGCUUUAGCUGUAGUCUGGAUACCCGCGUAUCUGGUGGGUGGGUGAUGCUGUGCAGGCAGACAGCUAGCAUGUGCGGCCUUGUGUCUGCAUUUUGCCUUGCCGUGGUGCCCAUGGGGAGCUAGAGUGUCUCACGGCGGCACUGUGCCACAGCACAGGAAAAGACAGUAGCCCCUGGUGGGUAGGACUAGGUUCCCACUCCUUGCACACUGAGCCUGAGGUCCCCAUGUCCUCCCUUCCCCAGAUCAUGGACACAGGCCAGGGACAAAAUUUCUUCCUUUCUCCUCUCCCACUGUCCAGGUGUUGCCCAGUGGCUGUACCCCCUAUCCCUAGGGAUCCAGAGGGGCCAGAUUUCACCUCACCUGUCAUAGCUGCUAAACAUCUCUGACUGGAGCUAGCUCCCUGAUGGUCUCAGUCCCUCUGAUGCUCUUGAAGUCCAAUGGAUCAUCCUAGAAGUCAGGCUUGCCUGUCCCCAGAACCCAGCUCUGUGUGUGGACACAAGAAGGCAGUCUCCACCCCACCACUUAGCUUCAUAGACACAAGCAGGCCCUGCACGGCUAAGACAGACUGUUUAAAACAGUCAUCUAGAUUGAAAAUACAUUACAUCACUCUUUUAUCAAAUGCUAAUCUUAAAAGGAGUGGUAGUUCCAGAAUAUCUGUGCCAAGCAGUGUACACUGGUGGGCACACAGGAGGUGAUGUCUUCCAGGCAGUGGGUAGCUCCCCUGAGCAGAGAUGGGUAUAAGAUCUGCCCUACAGGUUGUUCAGAGGAGAUGAGAUCCGGCUGUUGCUAAAUAGGUGAUGUCUGUGGAUUUGUGAGCUCAAGGACUCGAACAUAUAUUGCUGGGGAGGUGGCGGGGGAGGCAGUGUUGGGGUGGAGGGAAGUAUGGAGCUCAGGGCUUAGAAAAUGAAGUUGUCUCUGUAGGCUGCCGGGAGUCACCACAGGUUUUUAGGUAGUGAGAGGCUUGGGAACACUGAUGCGCAGGGGCGGCUCUCCCAGGUUCAUGCAGGAGCUCUGACAGAAAUAAAAACAGUGUCACCCUUGCCAAAGUUCCACGUCACCAAACAGAAUGUGAGCUGUGGUCAGACCUUCCAAGAAAACAGGAGAAACGAGAAACUGCAGCCAAGUUCCACACGCAGGCCAGUUCCAGUUGGCAGGAUACCGGCGCGCUCUCCUCCCCAUGCUACAGAGAGAAGGCUUCCAGGCACUAUGUUAGAGACACAAAAGACAAUGGCCUCCAUGCCACAGCUUCCACGGACUUUCACCCGUGGCUUGAACGCAGAUGCUUUGGACCGCCCACAUUUCUCUCCUGAAGAGCAAAGGAACAGUCAUGGAUCCCAGAUGGAGCUCUUGUGGAAACGGACUGUACCAAGAACCAGCGUCCCCUCCAAGACCACUGGGUGAAACCGACUGUGCACUAUCCAAGGUUCUCUGAAUUUGGGGAGGAGACAGAGCUUUCAUCCAUUUUAGAGACUGUAAAUCCCAGUCUCAACUGCAGAAGGCUGUGGACCUGCCAGUACGGGAUCUCACUCUGUAGCCAUGGCUGGCCUGGAGCUUGCCAAAUGGAGCAGGUUGGUCUUGAACUCACAAACAUCUGACUGUCUCUGCCUCCCCAUUGCUGAGAUUAAAGGUGUUCAUCACCACAGCCAGCCUGUAAUGUAUAGGUUUUUCUAAAUUUUAUACUGAUGAAAUUAUUGUAAAGUAUGCAUUUUAAAAAUAACCACAUCAAGGAGAACAGAGUAAAAUAUAAAUCUACUAAUUCUAAUCAUUAUAAAAAAAGUAUAAAAUGUCUCUAUGUAAUGAUUUACUUCUAAACUAAAAUGGAUCUUAGUUGUUUGCUAAAGAGACUGGCUUUCCUGGAUUCGGAGACAGGGAGAUACAAAGUACUUUUUUUUUCUUUUCCCAAUUGCAAGCUACAAAUUCAGUUUGCUUCUGAGCGCAGAGGAGGGUGGAUUUCUGGAGAGCUCACAGAAUGUCCUUGUUUGGCUGUGGUGUUACACAUUCAGAGGUAGGUGUGCACACACAUGCGUGUGCGUGUGUAUGACUGGAGGCCAAACUGCUGCCCUUCCCCUCACUCUCCACCUUUCUUCGCUGUCCCCUGCCUGCACCGUCCCUGGUCUGGCUUUCUUUGAGACAGGGUUCCUCUUUUUACCUGAAGAUCAUUGAUUCAGUGAGGCUGACUGGCCAGUGAGCUUAAGGAGUCUUCCUGUCUCCAUCUUAUCCUACUUCCACAAUGAGGUUAAAGCAUUGCCCACCCACCAGGGCUUUAAACGCGGGCUCCAAUAAGAUGAAUCCAGGUCUCCAAGCUCGCAUAGCAAGCCUCACACACUCAGUCUGACUGAGUGUCACACGUUGCUGCAGAUGGUAUUCUUUGAAUGGUGUUUGAGCAACCCUUGAGCUGUAGGAAUGGCUGUUCCUCCCCCUGGUAGAGGUGACUGUCCCUACUUUCCUUCUCUCUCUGGCCUGCACAUAGCACAUUUUAUAUACAGACUAACUUUACAUGGUACAUGUCCCCACCAGAUUCCAAUGUGAAUAAAUCAUGUCUUUGCAGCUAAAAGAAAAAAGGACACUUGUUAUUUUUAGAUAACACCAACAAGCAAUUAUUGAAGAAGUUAAAAGCAGUUUCUCUUUUAAUUACAAUUAUUUUGUGUGCUGUGUGGAGGCCACAGGACAACUUUCAGGAGUCAAUUCUCUUCUUCCCCAGACUUCUCAGGGUUGAGCUCCGGUUGUCAGGACUACAUGGCAAGCCCUUUUAUUUGCCGAGCUGUCUUGCUGACCCCAAAGCAAUUUUAUUUAGUUCAAACAGCUAAGCAUAAAUAGGACAAAAGAUAUGUUAAAAAAAAUCUACAAAGAAUCUAUAAAACAUUCUUGAUAUGCUGAAAAAAACUAAAUAAAUGGAAGAAAUCCCUAUAUUUAUGGGUCAGUUACUGCUUCCUCCAAAACAAUCUGAACAGAUUUAAUGAACUACUAAUCAAUAUCCCACCAGGAUAUCUUGUAGAAAGUGACACGCUGGUUUUAUAAUUUAUACAGAAGUAUAAAAGGACAAAAACUGCUAAGGAAAAUGUAAAGGCAAACCAGAGUGCCUUCCCUAGGAGACAUCAGUACUUAAAAAGUAGCCGUAAUGAAGACAGUAUAGUACUGCAGCAAGAAUAUACAGAUGGAAAAUAGCUUUGAAAAUAUUUAACAUUGAGUCUAUUGAAUAUCCAGAAGAUAAUAAAAUUAUAAAUAAUAA
Non-coding RNA from Myodes glareolus (Bank vole), 5809 nucleotides. The record is from RefSeq and is a predicted model, not a curated record. Lineage: Eukaryota; Metazoa; Chordata; Mammalia; Rodentia; Cricetidae.